Molecule: ribosomal RNA, 330 nt
Filed under: Triticum aestivum (bread wheat)
Lineage: Eukaryota; Viridiplantae; Streptophyta; Magnoliopsida; Poales; Poaceae
Description: partial small subunit ribosomal RNA
Source: RNAcentral
AUGUGCUUGUCCAUCCUUCCUCGACGGAUCAGCGCCGGAUCGAGCUUGUCCUUGUGGUUGGUAGUGAAGAUGAUGAUCCGCUCACCCCCGCAAGCAGACCAAAGUCCAUCAAUGAAGUUGAGGAGGCCCGAGAGCGUCACCGGUAGCUUGGGUUUGUCAUCAUCGUCGGAGUCCUUGUCACUAGAGGCCUUCUUGUCCUUGCGGCGUUUUCCGGUGAGGUCGAUGGAGCAGUCGAUGUCCUCUAUGACGAUGAUGGACUUGCCCGUGGUCUCGAUGAAGAGCUUCCGCAGCUCGGUGUUGUUCUUGACAGCUGUGAGCUCGAGAUCGUAG